RNAcentral lists this ribosomal RNA (516 nucleotides) under uncultured bacterium. RNAcentral's name for it is "partial 16S ribosomal RNA". It matches the Rfam family "Bacterial small subunit ribosomal RNA", at positions 28 to 523 of the family's 1533-position model. The record is from RNAcentral.
GAUGAACGCUGGCGGCGGGCCUAACACAUGCAAGUCGAGCGGAUUAUUCAUUGUAGCAAUACAGUGAGUAGUCAGCGGCGCAAGGGUGCGUAACACGUGGGCAACCUGCCCGGAAGUGGGGGAUAGCUCGCCGAAAGGCGAAUUAAUACCGCAUGUGGCUAGAGGUGACAUCACCUUGAGGCCAAAGUUGGGGCAACCUGACGCUUCUGGAUGGGCCCGCGGCCUAUCAGCUAGUUGGUGAGGUAACGGCUCACCAAGGCUGUGACGGGUAGCUGGUCUGAGAGGACGACCAGCCACACUGGAACUGAGACACGGUCCAGACACCUACGGGUGGCAGCAGUCGAGAAUUUUUCUCAAUGGGGGAAACCCUGAAGGAGCGACGCCGCGUGGAGGAUGAAGGUCUUCGGAUUGUAAACUCCUGUCAUUGGUGAACAAAGCCCUCGGAGUAACUGCCGUUGGGUUUGAUAGUAGCCGAAGAGGAAGGGACGGCUAACUCUGUGCCAGCCGCCGCAGUAA